Long non-coding RNA from Onychostoma macrolepis, 437 nucleotides. RefSeq lists it as uncharacterized. The transcript has 4 exons. The record is from RefSeq and is a predicted model, not a curated record. NCBI's taxonomy places the organism in Eukaryota, Metazoa, Chordata, Actinopteri, Cypriniformes, Cyprinidae.
AAAAGAGAAAGCUAGAAAGUUGCAAAUUUCCAUUGAUCCUAGAAUGAGCAAAUCAGCUGUGCAUCAUCUCUGGGAUUUAGGCAGGAAAUGACUGAAUAUGGAGGAUGAAGCCCGUUGAUGAAGAUAUCAAUUCAAUGGCCACCAAGUGAAGCACUGCUGCCUGAACCCAUCAGAUAUCUGCUGUGAAGACUGCAUUCACGAACAACUCUUCUGUGACAGCGCAGAAGUUACAGCCCAUAAAAGAAACAAGAUAGUGGUGGAGGGAUUCUUUUAGCCCAUACCUCCAACAAGAAUCAAUGGACAUCAAGACCGGGACUGUCAGAGACUCCAGCCACCCGAGCCAUGGAUUGCUCUCACCGUUACCAACAGGCAGAUGUUAUCGCAGAACCUUCACCAGCAGACUGCAAGACAAGUUCUUUCCACAGACUGAACUGAAC